AUACGUAGGUGACAAGCGUUAUCCGGAUUUACUGGGCGUAAAGGGCGUGUAGGCGGUCUUGCAAGUCAGAAGUGAAAUUCCUGAGCUCAACUCGGGCGCUGCUUCUGAAACUGCAGGACUUGAGUGCUGGAGGGGAUAGCGGAAUUCCUAGUGGAGCGGUAAAAUGCGCAGAUAUUAGGAGGAACACCGGCGGCGAAGGCGGCUUACUGGACUGUAACUGACGUUGAGGCUCGAAAGCGUGGGGAGCAAACAGGAUUAGAUACCCUGGUAGUCCACGCCGUAAACGAUGAUUACUAGGUGUUGGUUGUCAUAGACAAUCGGUGCCGCAGCAAACGCAAUAAGUAAUCCACCUGGGGAGUACGUUCGCAAGAAUGAAACUCAAAGGAAUUGACGGGG
Molecule: ribosomal RNA, 396 nt
Filed under: uncultured bacterium
Lineage: Bacteria
Description: partial 16S ribosomal RNA
Rfam family: Bacterial small subunit ribosomal RNA
Source: RNAcentral